GAUGAAGAACGCAGCGAAAUGCGAUAAGUAAUGCGAAUUGCAGAAUUCAGUGAAUCAUCGAAUCUUUGAACGCACAUUGCGCCCGCUAGUAUUCUGGCGGGCAUGCCUGUCUGAGCGUCAUUUCAACCCUCGCCCCCGGCUUUUGCUGGGAGCGGUGUUGGGGAUCGGCCGCCCGUCACUGGGAGGCCGGCCCCGAAAUAGAGUGGCGACCACGCCGUGUGCUCCUCUGCGUAGUAGUAAAUCACCUCGCAGGCGGACAGCGGUGCGGCCUGACGUAAAACCCCCAACUCUUUCUGGUUGACCUCAGAUCAGGUAGGAAUACCCGCUGAACUUAAGCAUAUCAAUAAGCGGAGGA
Molecule: unclassified non-coding RNA, 355 nt
Filed under: soil metagenome
Description: partial contains 5.8S ribosomal RNA, internal transcribed spacer 2, and large subunit ribosomal RNA
Rfam family: 5.8S ribosomal RNA (bases 1-120)
Source: RNAcentral